GAGGCGGAGACACAAGGCUCCGUUCCACUGGGCACGCCAGCGGUAGAGACAGGGUUUCACCAUGUUGGCCAGGCUGGUCUCAAACUCCUGAGCUCAGGCGAUCUGCCCGCCUCGGCCUCCCAAAGUGCUGGGAUUACGGGCGUGAGCCACUGCACCCGGUUCAAGCGAUUCUCCUGCCUCAGCCCCCUGAGUAGCUGGGAUUACAGGCACGCGCCACCACUCCCAGAUCUUCACUUCAGGUCAGCUCCAAGGAGGCUAUCCUUGCCCAUCUUCCUAAAAUAGAGCUCUCAAAACCUGGCUGUUUUCCUUCAGAGCACUGGCCUCCAAUUGCUCCGGUAGAUUGCAAAUGACCUGCUUUCUUUCUGUUCCCGGGCGUUUGGACCCCUGUCUUGGACCGCUGUCGGAUAGUAAAUCCCAAGUAAGGUACCUGCCGUCGGCAGAUUUGAGCUUUCUUCUUGGACACCUAAUACCCAGAGUCCUCCAGGCUCCGGUAGAUUGCAAAUGACCUGCUUUCUUUCUGUUCCCGGGCGGCAUCGGACCCGUCGGAGAGUAAAUCCCAAGUAAGGUACCUGCCGUUGGCAGAUUUGAGCUUUCUUCUUGGACACCUAAUACCCACAGUCCUCCAGGCUCCGGUAGAUUGCAAAUGACCUGCUUUCUUUCUGUUCCCGGGUGGCAUCGACCCGUCGGAGAGUAAAUCCCAAGUAAGGUACCUGCCGUUGGCAGAUUUGAGCUUUCUUCUUGGACACCUAAUACCCACAGUCCUCCAGUAAAUCCCAAGCAAGGUACCUGCCGUCAGCAGAUUUGAGCUUUCUUCUUGGACACCUAAUACCCACAGUCCUCCAGGCUCCGGUAGAUUGCAAAUGACCUGCUUUCUUUCUGUUCCCGGGCUGCGUUCGGACCCCUGUCGGAUAGUAACUCCCAAGUAAGGUACCUGCCGUCGGCAGAUUGGAGCUUUCUUCUUGGAGACCUAAUACCCACAGUCCUCCAGAAAAACAAACAAAGACAUGGAUUUACUGUGCAUAUUAGCAGAUCCAUACUGGAAAAUGCAUGGAGGUUUCAUAUACACCACUUACAGUUUUCAGCUCCUCAGUAGUGACAAAGCCAUACCCAUCAUUGUCGAUUCGAUCAACAAUCUUCCCUAGCCUCUCCUUGCUCUCGUCCGGGGUGAGCUCGUCGAAGUUCUUGGAGUCCUCCUUGCCCAGGAAGGCCUCGUGGUCGUACUGGAAGCUCUGGUUGUCCUCAGGGGGCCGCUCGCCCAGCUCCGAGUCGGGCCGCACCACGCGCUCUUUGCGCACCGUGGGCUUGGCCCGCAGAACCCGCGGCGCCAGCACCAGCGCCAGCAGCAGCCCCAGGGCUAACCCCAGGCGGCCACCGCGCGCCAUCGUCCCGAGGAGAGGGCGGCCGGGAGGGAGACGCUGAGCGAGCGACAACAGCGGCAGCUCGGGAAUGGGGGCUCGGAGCGCGGCGGCCAAGUUUUAUGUUAUGUAUAUUUUACAAGUAAAAAAAUUUUUUCACCUCAGCCUGAAAAAAAAAAAAAAAAAAAAAAAAAAAAAAAAAAAAAAAAAAAAAAAAAAAAAAAAA
This 1581-nucleotide long non-coding RNA is filed under the name Homo sapiens (human). RNAcentral's name for it is "TPT1 antisense RNA 1 (TPT1-AS1)". The record is from RNAcentral. Lineage: Eukaryota; Metazoa; Chordata; Mammalia; Primates; Hominidae.